CGCCGAAUCAAGGGGGGAAAAAGGGGGGGAAAAAGUUCAAGUUGAGCUAAAUACUGGAAGCUUCGAUCCGAUUAGUUAAAACAUUGUGAUCAUUGUUUGUUGCAAAGAAAAUGAAGGAGUUGAGGAGAUUCAGAUUUCUAAGAACUUGAGAAAAUUAACUAAACAGAGACUGACUGAGACAGAGAGAGGGGAGAGAGUUGGCACCUGAAAAGACCACCGAGUGAGGG
RNAcentral lists this unclassified non-coding RNA (227 nucleotides) under Hevea brasiliensis (rubber tree). Lineage: Eukaryota; Viridiplantae; Streptophyta; Magnoliopsida; Malpighiales; Euphorbiaceae. The record is from RNAcentral.